RNAcentral lists this ribosomal RNA (1317 nucleotides) under Triticum aestivum (bread wheat). RNAcentral describes it as "partial small subunit ribosomal RNA". Lineage: Eukaryota; Viridiplantae; Streptophyta; Magnoliopsida; Poales; Poaceae. The record is from RNAcentral.
AUGGAUAUCCUCAUCUCUGCAAUCGUAGGCGACCUUGUCGGCAGGUCGAUGUCCUUUUUGAUCAGCAAAUACUUCCAGCAGCAACCUGACAUCAACAAGAUUGUCCAGAGGCUACAGAGUGUUGUAUUGAGAAUCGACAUUGUUGUCGAGGAGGCCCAGGGGAGGGACAUCACCAAUCAGGGUAUGCUCUGUCAGCUCAAGAUGUUGAGGCAAGAAAUGUACAGAGGACACUAUGUUCUUGAUGCCUUGAGAUUCCGAGCCGCCCUUGACGAGGAGGAGGUGAGCCACUCAUCGGCUGCGCUUUGGAAAUCCAGUCCAGCCAAACGGCUUUGUUUCUCUCGCACCGGCAGCAGCAGAGGCAACAGAGAAGCACUGCUAAUUGGCACAAAUAGGAACAUACGAGAAGAGCUGCAACAGAUGGUUGAUACCCUUGAAGACACCAUGGACGGUAUGAAGGCGAUUCUUUUCUUCUUGGAGUUAUAUCCUCGGAUGAUCCGCCAACCUUGCGGCACAUACUUGUUCUUGGACAAUUGCAUGUUUGGUCGCCAAACGGAGCGGCAGUGGAUCCUGAAUUUCUUGCUUAGUCCUGGUGCUACAUCAGAUUUGGCUGUACUUCCGAUCGUUGGCCCAAUAAGAGUAGGGAAGAGCACUCUUGUUGAGAAUGUCUGUAGGGAUGGGAGUGUGCGUGAUCGCUUCUCGAUGAUCCUCUUCUUUCCAGAAAGCAGUCUCAAGGAUGAAGGGGUGGUCGACCUGAGAGAUAACAAUAUUAAAUUCAGACAUCAGAAUUGUGCUUCUCAAAAUAGGUUGCUGAUUAUUAUUGAAACAGACAAGGAUAUUAACGAGGAAACAUCGAGAAGGCUGAAAUCUUCCGCAACCUGCAUGACACCUUGCGGUGAGAGCAAAAUCAUAAUCACUAGUCGGUCAGAUAGAAUUGUGAAUCUGGGAACAACGGAAGCACUUCGACUGGAUUAUCUCUCUCAAGAAGCUUAUUGGCAUUUUUUCAAGUCAAUUGCAUUCGGGAGCAUAAACCCCGGGGAGCAUCCAAAACUGGCAACUAUGGCUAUGGAGAUUGCUUUGGAACAGACACAGUGUUUCACAAGCGCGCGUAUCGUUGCUGAGUUACUGCAACAUAACUUCAAUGCUCGAUUCUGGCGCACAGUUCUUGAAUGUGUAAGAGAAAGUAAACAGAUAAAUCACAUUAUGUUUGGCCAGCACCUACCUUCUUUUGCGGGAAGAUGCACCGGUGUAUUGUUGGAGAUUAGUGAAGAUACACAGAUAUUUCUUGUUUUGCAACCAUCAGCAGUCAUAUUCCGAUGA